RNAcentral lists this ribosomal RNA (253 nucleotides) under uncultured bacterium. RNAcentral's name for it is "partial 16S ribosomal RNA". It matches the Rfam family "Bacterial small subunit ribosomal RNA", at positions 524 to 776 of the family's 1533-position model. The record is from RNAcentral.
UACAGAGGUCUCAAGCGUUGUUCGGAUUCAUUGGGCGUAAAGGGUGCGUAGGUGGCGGGGUAAGUCGGAUGUGAAAUCCCGGGGCUCAACCUCGGAACUGCAUUCGAUACUGCUUUGCUUGAGUACUGGAGAGGAGAUUGGAAUUUACGGUGUAGCAGUGAAAUGCGCAGAUAUCAGGAGGAACACCGGUGGCGAAGGCGGGUCUCUGGGCCGAUACUGACGCUGAGGAGCGAAAGCGUGGGGAGCGAACAGG